Molecule: ribosomal RNA, 254 nt
Filed under: uncultured bacterium
Lineage: Bacteria
Description: partial 16S ribosomal RNA
Rfam family: Bacterial small subunit ribosomal RNA
Source: RNAcentral
UACGUAGGUGGCGAGCGUUGUCCGGAUUUACUGGGCGUAAAGAGCUCGUAGGCGGUGUGUCACGUCGGCCGUGAAAACCUGCAGCUUAACUGUGGGCGUGCGGUCGAUACGGGCAUCACUGGAGUUCGGCAGGGGAGACUGGAAUUCCUGGUGUAGCGGUGAAAUGCGCAGAUAUCAGGAGGAACACCGGUGGCGAAGGCGGGUCUCUGGGCCGAUACUGACGCUGAGGAGCGAAAGCGUGGGGAGCAAACAGG